RNAcentral lists this ribosomal RNA (252 nucleotides) under uncultured bacterium. Its description in RNAcentral is "partial 16S ribosomal RNA". It matches the Rfam family "Bacterial small subunit ribosomal RNA", at positions 524 to 776 of the family's 1533-position model. The record is from RNAcentral.
UACGUAGGUCCCGAGCGUUGUCCGGAUUUAUUGGGCGUAAAGCGAGCGCAGGUGGUUUAUUAAGUCUGGUGUAAAAGGCAGUGGCUCAACCAUUGUAUGCAUUGGAAACUGGUAGACUUGGGUGCAGGAGUGGAGAGUGGAAUUCCAUGUGUAGCGGUGAAAUGCGUAGAUAUAUGGAGGAACACCGGUGGCGAAAGCGGCUCUCUGGCCUGUAACUGACACUGAGGCUCGAAAGCGUGGGGAGCAAACAGG